UAGAGUUUGAUCCUGGCUCAGGAUAAGUCGUAACAAGGUAACCGUAUGAGUUUGAUCCUGGCUCAGGACGAACGCUGGCGGCAUGCUUAACACAUGCAAGUUGUGCGAGAAAGUUACCUUCGGGUAACGAGUAAAGCAGCGAACGGGUGAGUAACGCGUAAGUUAUCUACCUUUAAAUCUGGAAUAACUACUCGAAAGGGUGGCUAAUACUGGAUAUACUCUUUUUAGAGGAAAGAUGGAUUACUAUCGUUUAAAGAUGAGCUUGCGUCCCAUUAGCUAGUUGGUAAGAUAACAGCCUACCAAGGCAACGAUGGGUAGCCGGCCUGAGAGGGCGAUCGGCCACACUGGGACUGAGACACGGCCCAGACUCCUACGGGAGGCUGCAGUGGGGAAUCUUCCGCAAUGGGCGAAAGCCUGACGGAGCAAUGCCGCGUGAGUGAUGAAGGCCUUAGGGUCGUAAAGCUCUGUCUUGAGGGAAGAACAACUUAGUAGUGAACAACUGCUAGGUAUGACGGUACCUCAAAAGAAAGCCCCGGCUAAUUACGUGCCAGCAGCCGCGGUAACACGUAAGGGGCAAGCGUUGUCCGGAAUUACUGGGCGUAAAGGGUGCGCAGGCGGUCUAGCAAGUCAGAGGUGAAAGCCACUAGCUCAACUAGUGAAAGUCCUUUGAAACUGUUAGACUUGAGAGUAGAAGAGGGAGAUGGAAUUCCUAGUGUAGUGGUGAAAUACGUAGAUAUUAGGAAGAAUACCAAUGGUGAAAACAGUCUCCUGGUCUGACUCUGACGCUGAGGCACGAAAGCUAGGGUAUCAAACGGGAUUAGAUACCCCGGUAGUCCUAGCUGUAAACGCUGGAUACUAGGUGUUGGGGGUUCAACUCCCUCGGUGCCGUAGUUAACGCUUUAAGUAUCCCGCCUGGGGAAUACGACCGCAAGGUUGAAACUCAAAGGAAUUGGCGGGGGCCCGCACAAGCGGCGGAGCAUGUGGUUUAAUUCGAAGCAACGCGAAGAACCUUACCAGAACUUGACAUCUUUCUGAUAUUCUUUUAACAGAGAAGUUCCCUUCGGGGACAGAAAUGACAGGUGGUGCAUUGCUGUCGUCAGCUCGUGUCGUGAGAUGUUGGGUUAAGUCCCGCAACGAGCGUAACCCUUAUUCUUAGUUGCCAGCAUGUAAUGAUGGGGACUCUAAGGAGACUGCCGCGGAAGAACGCGGAGGAAGGUGGGGAUGACGUCAAGUCAUCAUGCCCCUUAUGUUCUGGGCUACACACGUGCUACAAUGGCUUACACAAAAGGAAGCGAGACCGCAAGGUAGAGCCAAUCCUGUAAAGUGAGUCUCAGUUCGGAUUGCAGAUUGCAACUCAUCUGCAUGAAGCUGGAGUCGCUAGUAAUCGUGGAUCAGAAUGUCACGGUGAAUACGUUCCCGGGCCUUGUACACACCGCCCGUCACACCACCCGAGUUGGGGGCACCAGAAGUCGCUGACUCAACCAAGUGAGAGAAGCGCCGAAGGUGUGCCCGAUAAGGGAGGUGAAGUCGUAACAAGGUA
RNAcentral lists this ribosomal RNA (1540 nucleotides) under uncultured Bacillota bacterium. RNAcentral's name for it is "bacterial SSU rRNA". It matches the Rfam family "Bacterial small subunit ribosomal RNA". The record is from RNAcentral. Lineage: Bacteria; Bacillati; Bacillota.